UUUUGGCUGAAAGAUUCCUACAUAUUUCCAUUAUGUCAUGUAUUUUCUAACUAGAGCUUAAAUAGCUGAUUUCGUAAUAAUCUCUGAGCCAGCAGAUCUGUUUUGACUUAGCUAACCCACAUAUUUGUAACACAAUGAUAUGACCAGUGCACCCAACAACCCUCUUUUGGCUGCUUUAUCCUUCACACAACUUAAACUUUCUACAUGUUUCCAGGACACAGAGACUCUUUUUUUCCAAAAUAUUAUGCAAAUACUAAAGACGCCUUCCUGCCCUCUCCCCAAGGGCCUAUGACUGUGUGCAGCCGUUGGAGAUUCCUACAAUAUUCUUUAGUUGCAAAUCAAGAAUAGAGACAUGGGAGAGGAAGGAGGUUUGGAGAGCCCAGGGCCCGGGAGACGACUGCAUUUAAGAAAAUACUCAGAGAGUGAAGCUUUCAAGCCAAGCCGCUUCUCCCAACAUGCAAAAGGCUUUGCUGCUCCCCUAGCCAAGAAGAAGGUGCCCAGUGGGACCCUCUGUGUCCACUCGGGACUGGGACGCACAGGGACUGAAGAGGAGGACGUGCCCGUCCACAUCUCAAGAUCUGCGUCUGGCUCUUCGACCCUCUGCCUUUCCCCACUGCAGGUGAACCAAUGGAACUGACUCACCUCUGGCUCCAGGAGAAAGCGUAUGACUCCAGUAUGGUCCACCAGAGGGUUGCCUCUGGUGGCCACCAUGAUUGACCUCAACAUGAGUGUGUGGCCAAUCAGAGCCAAUUAGAGCUAAUCCCACAGUUUUUGCUGAGUGAUCAGAACCUGCUGUAUGACACUUGGGAGAUGACAAGAACAGAGAGCCUGCUGAAAGGGAAUCCAAAAGUGAAGAAAGCAGGUCCAAGAGCACAGAAGACCAAGUUUUCAAAGGAUUGUUUCAACCCCUGGAUCAAGCCAUGCCUGAAACCUCACCCUAAAUCUACCAUGAGACUUUUAAAUUAUAUGAGCCAUUGGAGCUCCCUUUUUUUCCAUAAACCCAAUUGGUUUUGGUUUUCUGUCACCUGAAACCAAAAGAAUUUGAUUGAUAAAAUCUCCAUACCUGUCACUGCA
Sus scrofa (pig) is the source of this 1074-nucleotide non-coding RNA. The record is from RefSeq and is a predicted model, not a curated record. NCBI's taxonomy places the organism in Eukaryota, Metazoa, Chordata, Mammalia, Artiodactyla, Suidae.